Molecule: ribosomal RNA, 145 nt
Filed under: uncultured Bacillus sp.
Lineage: Bacteria; Bacillati; Bacillota; Bacilli; Caryophanales; Bacillaceae
Description: partial 16S ribosomal RNA
Rfam family: Bacterial small subunit ribosomal RNA
Source: RNAcentral
CCUACGGGAGGCAGCAGUAGGGAAUCUUCCGCAAUGGACGAAAGUCUGACGGAGCAACGCCGCGUGAGUGAAGAAGGUCUUCGGAUCGUAAAGCUCUGUUGUUAGGGAAGAACAAGUAUCGGAGGAAAUGCCGGUACCUUGACGG